GAUGAACGCUAGCGGCAGGCUUAACACAUGCAAGUCGAGGGGCAUCGAGAGUAGCAAUACUUGUCGGCGACCGGCGCAAGGGUGCGUAACACGUGAGCAACAUACCCGUUUCAGGAGGAUAACCGGAGGAAACUCUGCCUAAUACUCCAUGACAUCAUCAAACGGCAUCGUUUGAUGAUUAAAGAUUUAUCGGAAACGGCUUGGCUCGCGGGACAUUAGCUCGUUGGUGAGGUAACGGCUCACCAAGGCGACGAUGUCUAGGGGUUCUGAGAGGAAGGUCCCCCACACUGGAACUGAGACACGGUCCAGACUCCUACGGGAGGCAGCAGUGAGGAAUAUUGGACAAUGGUCGGAAGACUGAUCCAGCCAUGCCGCGUGAAGGUUACUGUCCUAUGGAUAUUAAACUUCUUUUGUAUGAGAGCAAUAAGGUGCACGUGUGCACCGAUGAGAGUAUCAUACGAAUAAGCAUCGGCUAA
Molecule: ribosomal RNA, 476 nt
Filed under: uncultured bacterium
Lineage: Bacteria
Description: bacterial SSU rRNA
Rfam family: Bacterial small subunit ribosomal RNA
Source: RNAcentral